RNAcentral lists this unclassified non-coding RNA (203 nucleotides) under soil metagenome. Its description in RNAcentral is "partial contains 5.8S ribosomal RNA, internal transcribed spacer 2, and large subunit ribosomal RNA". The record is from RNAcentral.
AAGACUAUAGACCUGCGGAGUACCUGCGGAAGGAUCAUUAAUGAAAUUUAAGGACGCUCUUUUUAGAGGUCCGAACAAUCUCAUUUUCUCACACUGUGCACACUACUACUUUUUUACACCAUUUUUAACUCAUAAAGUCUAAGAAUGUAAUCAGUCUCUUAAUUGAGCAUAAAUUUAAACAAAACUUUCAACAACGGAUCUCU